This is a non-coding RNA of Bombyx mori (domestic silkworm), 84 nucleotides long. The record is from Rfam. Lineage: Eukaryota; Metazoa; Arthropoda; Insecta; Lepidoptera; Bombycidae.
UUAACUCAAAUUUGUAUGGAGUUGGAACGUUAGCCUAUGUUUGCCGCUAGAGGCAAUGUUCCAAAUGUAUAAAAAUUUGAGUUA